GAGUAGGAUGCCUCGCGAUUUCAUCAUGCUACUCAGAAUGGCCCACAGUUUAAAAGUUAUGAAUUUUUUCUUUCUGGAAUUUUUCUACGUAAUAUUUUUGAACCAUGGCUAACUGAAACCAUGGAAAGUGAAACCACAGUGAGGACUACAUGAUCUUCCUUUGGAGAACUGUGACUCCCCUGUUGCAUGUCCCCUUGGCCUAGACAAUCUCGCUGUCAUGGAGACGGAACUCAGGCAAAACAAGGACAAAAAUUGACAGUGAUUCACUCUGGCGAUAGCCUGUCAGCUAGGACAAUGGAGAUUAUCCAUUUGGUCGGCCAUCCUUUGGCAGAUUAAAGACGGCUAUCCAUUAUCAGUCUCUUCUCCCACUAAGAGGUGGAGCCUGUGACCCGCCCCUUCAGUCUGGCAGGUUUGCUCUUGGAGCUCUGAGGCACCCUUUAAGUUCAAUUACCCUGAGUCCACCAUGCUGUAAGGAAGCCAAAGCUAGCCACACUGAGAGGUCCUGCAAAGAAACCCAUGUCCAGCCAGCACCCAGUGGUUCCAGCCAUCCUGGCCCAAGUGCCUAACACGUGAAUGAAGAAGCCUUCACGUGACCCCAGCUUCAGAAGCCAUCUGACUACAGCUGCAUGACUGGCCCCUAUAAGAGCUGCCCAGAUGAACCCAUUAACCCCCAAACCAUGAAAAAUGACAGUAAAUUAUUGUUUUGAUCCG
This is a long non-coding RNA of Bos taurus (domestic cattle), 711 nucleotides long. Lineage: Eukaryota; Metazoa; Chordata; Mammalia; Artiodactyla; Bovidae. The record is from Ensembl.